GAUGAAGAACGUAGCUAAAUGCGAUAAGUAAUGUGAAUUGCAGAAUUCAGUGAAUCAUCGAAUCUUUGAACGCACAUUGCGCCCAUUAGCAUUCUAGUGGGCAUGCCUGUUCGAGCGUCAUUUCAACCCUUAAGCCCUGUUGCUUAGCGUUGGGAGCCUACAGUACUGUAGCUCCCCAAAGUUAGUGGCGGAGUCGGUUUCACACUCUAGACGUAGUAAAUUUUUCUCGUCUGUAGUUGAGCCGGUCCCCUGCCGUAAAACACCCAAUUUAUCAAGGUUGACCUCGGAUCAGGUAGGAAUACCCGCUGAACUUAAGCAUAUCAAUAAGCGGAGGA
Molecule: unclassified non-coding RNA, 335 nt
Filed under: soil metagenome
Description: partial contains 5.8S ribosomal RNA, internal transcribed spacer 2, and large subunit ribosomal RNA
Rfam family: 5.8S ribosomal RNA (bases 1-120)
Source: RNAcentral